This 451-nucleotide ribosomal RNA is filed under the name uncultured bacterium. RNAcentral's name for it is "partial 16S ribosomal RNA". It matches the Rfam family "Bacterial small subunit ribosomal RNA", at positions 28 to 507 of the family's 1533-position model. The record is from RNAcentral.
GAUGAACGCUGGCGGCGUGCCUAACACAUGCGAGUCGAGCGGCAGCGAGGGGUGCUUGCACCCUGUCGGCGAGCGGCGGACGGCUGAGUAACGCGUGGGAACGUGCCCCAAAGUGAGGAAUAACUGCCCGAAAGGGUAGCUAAUACCGCAUAUUAUCUUCGGAUCAAAGGAUUUAUCCGCUUUGGGAGCGGCUCGCGUCGGAUUAGGUAGUUGGUGAGGUAAUGGCUCACCAAGGCGACGAUCCGUAGCUGGUCUGAGAGGAUGACCAGCCAGACUGGAACUGGGACGCAGUCCGGACUCCUACGGGAGGCAGCAGUGAGGAAUCUUCCACAAUGGGCGAAGGCCUGAUGGAGCAACGCCGCGUGCAGGACGAAGGCCUUCGGGUUGUAAAGUGCUUUUAUAAGUGAGGAAUAUGACGGUAACUUAUGAAUAAGGAUCGGCUAACUACGUG